GUGAGGAAUAUUGGUCAAUGGGCGCAAGCCUGACGCAGCCAUGCCGCGUGAAUGAUGAAGGUCUUAGGAUUGUAAAAUUCUUUCACCGGGGACGAUAAUGACGGUACCCGGAGAAGAAGCCCCGGCUAACUUCGUGCCAGCAGCCGCGGUAAUACGAAGGGGGCUAGCGUUGCUCGGAAUUACUGGGCGUAAAGGGCGCGUAGGCGGACAGUUUAGUCAGAGGUGAAAGCCCAGGGCUCAACCUUGGAAUUGCCUUUGAUACUGGCUGUCUUGAGUACGGGAGAGGUGAGUGGAACUCCGAGUGUAGAGGUGAAAUUCGUAGAUAUUCGGAAGAACACCAGUGGCGAAGGCGACUCACUGGCCCGUUACUGACGCUGAGGCGCGAAAGCGUGGGGAGCAAACAGGAUUAGAAACCCUGGUAGUCC
Molecule: ribosomal RNA, 425 nt
Filed under: uncultured bacterium
Lineage: Bacteria
Description: partial 16S ribosomal RNA
Rfam family: Bacterial small subunit ribosomal RNA
Source: RNAcentral